RNAcentral lists this transfer RNA (84 nucleotides) under Candidatus Woesearchaeota archaeon. Its description in RNAcentral is "tRNA-Ser". It matches the Rfam family "tRNA". Rfam says of the family: Transfer RNA (tRNA) molecules are approximately 80 nucleotides in length. Their secondary structure includes four short double-helical elements and three loops (D, anti-codon, and T loops). Lineage: Archaea; Nanobdellati; Candidatus Woesearchaeota. The record is from RNAcentral.
GCCGCGGUCGCAUAACCCGGUAUUGCGCUGGAUUGCUAAUUCAGUGCCCGCAAGGGUAUGAGGGUUCAAAUCCCUCCCGCGGCG